Molecule: long non-coding RNA, 267 nt
Filed under: Mus pahari (shrew mouse)
Lineage: Eukaryota; Metazoa; Chordata; Mammalia; Rodentia; Muridae
Description: predicted gene 17036 (MGP_PahariEiJ_G0002675.1)
Source: RNAcentral
GUUCCAGUAUGUGUACAACAAUUAUAUUAAAAGUAAGGAAGAAUACAGACAUAGCAAUCAGAAGUCAAUACCUUGUGCUCGGAGUUGGACUAGUUCCUCACCGAGGGAAUCAACAGAUUCCUCCAGUUGUCUCUUCUUUUGUUCUACAUUUUGAAGGGUUCUCUGUGUUGCCCUGGUUGAUGUAGACAAUCUUAUAAGAAGUGUAGCAGAUAUUCAGGAGACAAUCACUUUGAAUACCAUCUAAGUUUUCUCACAUUAUAGCAUAGU